Molecule: long non-coding RNA, 879 nt
Filed under: Chloebia gouldiae (Gouldian finch)
Lineage: Eukaryota; Metazoa; Chordata; Aves; Passeriformes; Passeridae
Description: Erythrura gouldiae (Gouldian finch) lncRNA (ENSEGOG00005015577.1)
Source: RNAcentral
CACUUUCAAUCCCAGCUGCUGGGAGUCUCCUUCCAUAAGGAUUUUGGAGCUGCCAACAGCUCUGUCCUGGUUUUUUCUCCUGUCACUUCCAGGUGCCAGUACAAACCUGACAGCAGGGACAGCUGUGGGGUCACUCCCUUCAUGGACGCUCUGCAGAACGGGCACGUCGGCAUCGCCCGGCUGCUGCUGGACAAACACCAGCUGUGGAUGCUCUGGGAGCCCAGGCCCUGCACAGGGCAGCUGUGACAGCCCAGGAUGGCUCCAUCCAGUUCCUGGUGUCCGAGCUGGGCGUGGAUGUCAACGCGAGAGCGACGUCCCUGCAGCUGCCAGCCCUGCACUACGCAGCCAAGGAAGGACAUGGACACACCAUCCAGACCCUGCUGGCCCUCGGUGCUGAUCUCCAGGCUAAGGAUGGGAAGGGCCGUUCUGCUCCCUGAAACAGAACCAUCCAAGGAAAGUGCCACUUCCAGGGAUCCUCGUGGCUUUUCCUGGGAAUUUCCACACCCUGAACAUCCCCAUGGAGUAGAUCCACCUGGAUCAUGGAGGUUCUAGCUCUUCAUGGACCUGCUUUCCACUAAUCCCUUAAAUUGCUUUAAUUUCCAAUUCAAUGUGUAAUUUGACCUCUUUGGGUCGGACAGAGACUCUUGAAGCUGCCUCAACCUUUUUGUAGCCCACAGCUGAUCCCCAAACCUGCAGGAAUCUGUAGUGGGACCUCACCCUGAUGAGGACAUCGGGGAUCUCUGGAAUAAGGAGGUGUUUCAUUCCAGACUGGAAUGCUGGGCAAUUCCCAGCACUGAUAAACUUUAAAUCCCAAUAAUCUGCUCUUGGAAGCCCGGAAUACCCAGCAAGGUAAGAGCAGCUGCAGCUGUUGGGUUUGUG